UAUGAUGUAUUUGAUUGAAGUUUUUGAUGUCAUAAUAAUAGGUAUCACACAUGCUCUUAACUUUUUGAUUCAACAUUUUACUUAGGUAUAGUGAUUACAAGACACAAAAUUUCUAGUUGUGACAUUCUCUGAACCAAUCAACUCCUUUCGCGGGUUUAUACAAAUCCGAAUCAAUUCUUUAUAACAUUAAGAGUUGAAUAAUACUUAUCUGCUUAGUCAUUACCGAAACGAAGGUAACGACACACCUGAAUAAAACGAAAUCAUUUACUAGCUUCUUGGUGACCUUGUGACUUUUUCCUGAUCCAAGUGUGAGUCCCAUGCUUCCAGUAGGAUAGGCCUCUACUACUACUCACACCUACUCAUACUCGUCCCAACUAUUGUCCCACAGUUCCCAAGUCACCAUUCAAAAGUUUUCACAAAGCAACUUAUCACACAUGAAUGUGUUCAAACAAAUACAAACAACGCUUUCUCCUAGACUCAACUAGGGUUUUCAUGUGUCUAUCAAACAUAUAUUGGAUUACCUAUACUCGCCUUUAUUAUUCUCAUGCAUAAGCUUGUUUUAAUAUAUCCUAAUACUUUUCCAUAGGUCGAUAAAAAUUUUACUUCCAUUUCUUUAUAUAAAUUCUUUCUUGAGUAGUGUCUACUUUACAAGACACACUAUUCCAAAAUUUACUGUAGCCGCAUGGAGAUAAAUGGUCUUCUACUACCUGCAUCAUCUUCUAACUCAUGCAAUCCAUCAUGCACAUUUGUUCAUUUCAUUAUUCUUCCUUGAAAUCGUUAUUCUUGUAUCUGAGUAAGUCUAAGUGUAUUUCUUAGGAGUCUAUCCUAAAAAGUCUACAUCAUAGCUGCAUCUCAGCAAGCUCUACUAGCUUCAACAUGGUUCUCUAUCAUUCCUGACUACAACAUCUCUUCUCAUUCGAUACUAUGGGUGUAUUUCUUCUUUAAUUAAGCAUUCUACCUUACUUAAACAAGUAAGUUGCUUAACCACUUACCACUAAGUGAUUCAAUUCACCAUCCCAAUCAUGUAUGUAAAAGUCGGCUUAACACACAAUAGAACUUCUAUAAGGAUGGGAUAGAAGUCAAUCGUCACUUAGUAUUAUUAAAUACUAAGUCUAAACAUCUUGUAUAGGGUUACAACUCGAACUGCAUACUACAUUACAAUGUUUUUUACGAAGUCUUGGCCUAUUGAGUCUGAAAACUUCAUUAAGCCUUCCUUUAAUUCUUCUAAAUCUUGUACAACAUUGAUUGAGAUACUAUCGAAGUAUUGACCGCCAUCUUUGGUUCUUCUGACUCUCUAAACAAUCACUGCUUCAGUCUAAACAUCGGUGGAAACAACUUCAUGGAUUUGCACCAACACAUUUAUCUCGCCCAAACGUGUUUCAAAUACACAUCUUUCUUCCAAAGAUGUUAUUAUAUAUCGAACAUACUUUAAAUGUAUAUUACCACUCUAUUGGUAUUAAUACAUUUAUUACGAUAACAAUUCAUAUUUAUUAUUUUACGAUAUCUCGCGAUCGUUAUUUAUAAACUUAUCGAUGUCAACUAUCAUAAGUCUCUUUAUCACUUCGAAAAAUUCUAUUACGAAAACUCUUAGAAUUCUGAACAUACAAUUUUCUAAACUAAGGUCGGUAACAGACCAUAAGCUUUCUCAAAUAAUAGAAAUUAUAGAUAAGCACCUUAAGGCAUGCUAUAUUCAUUUAUUAUUUAGCACAUAUUAGAAUAUAAGGCAUAUCUCCUCUUAAUAUUCUAGUGCUUGACUCCAUUAGGUAUUCAACCUAAAAUAUACCAGAUACAUAUUGUAUCAUCUUCAUUUAACAAUUCUUGUUUAAGCUUAGAAAUUCUCGAAACUCCUAGUUCACUUAAAAUAAUUUUCUUAAAUUUCUGAAGUAAGUUAAUACCUUAGAAUAUUAGGGUUUAUCACUACCAAAUCCCCCACUUAAAUAUUUCCUAUGGUUUGUAUCCAUAUACUUAUUAUGAAUCGGCUCAUAUAUUGAGCUUCCAACAGCUUAUGUCUAAAUACCAAUCUGUGAUAUUUAGUUCACUUAAGCCAUUGCUCUGAUACCAUGAUUGAAAGACCCCAACUUUCGUAUUUAAGAAAGACCAAAACUUUCAUACUAUUCCAACAUUAUUCUUAACUUACAUCCUCAAAACAUGCAACAUGCAUAUUUAUAAAACAAUAUUUUAUAUUGAUAAAGUGAUUACAAAGGAUUGGAUACAAACCGACUAAGUUUUAUUACAUUUCAUAUCUACCCAGGAAUCUAUUAUUCAUAUACAUACUUGAACAUUAGAAUACAGAGAAAUAGUAUUAACUAUUCUAAAUCUUUCAGCAGUAUAAAACUAAAUUGGAUACUCAUCACCUACAAUUGUUAAACAUUGAAAGGGAUAAACGAUAACGCUUAGUGAAUUCAAUAAAUAGAUACAAUAUAAUCUUAUGCCUUACAUAUACCAAUAUAAUAGAAGCAAAAGGAAACAAGAAGAACAAUAGCAUAUGAGUAUCAUACAUCCGACUUUCAAUACCAACUCAAGAUUUGAUUCAAAGAUUUACGAUCAAUGAGACAUAAUGAUUUCAAUACUUGAUAUGCAUCAAUAAAGCUUUGGCCCAAAUGGCACAGAAGACAUAUAAUUUCUAAUUAACAUUUUGGUAGAUUUCAGGCUUAUAGCCCUGUCUAACCUUCUACCAAUACAAUAUAAUAGAGUUCAUUUUCUUACGGAGUCAUGCUCUACAUGGUCGGAGGCUACAUACCAUUCCUAUCUAACCUUCUGCCAAUGCCAUAGAAUAAAAGUCAUUCUCUUACGAGACAUGUUCUACAUGGCCAGAGGCUACAUACCAGUACCACCGUGAAUCUAAGUCCUUUCACUGAUCACAUGGUCAAAGGUAUAACUUUGCUAUUAAAAAUAGCUAAUAAAAAUAACACGGGGAAAUAACUCAGAAUAAUAACAUUGAAAAGCACAUAGCACAUAUAACACAUAACAUACAAUUGUUCCUAUAUAUUGAACACACCUUAAAAUAAUCGAGAGUUAAAAUAGUAAUUUGAGCAGCAUAUCGGCUCCAAAUAUGGCUUUAUUCGUCGAAAACCGGGAGAAUUAGCUAAAAAGCGGGCUCUAAAAAGGUAGAGCUUCAAACCGAAAAGAAUAGUUUCUCGGGCUUUCCAGGCACUUCGGGACGUAUUUUGGGCUUUAAAAAUAUUACCGGGGCUUCGGGGAAUGUGGAAAUAAUAAAAAUAUGGAAACACGGGCCAAAAAUGCCGAAUUCUUGAAAAUACCUGGGAGAUCUCGCAGGCUUCUAUUUAUAGGGCGAGGGGCUUGGAUCCGAGGGCUGAGAAGGCUGCACGCGGCAGCAGAUGCGAAGGUCGGCCAAGAAGGGUGAGUCACCGAAGGCAGGUGGCAGCGAGGGAGGAGGGACACGCGUCUCAAGCGAAGCUCGGACACCGGCACAACACGUGUCGGCUUCGGAUUGGUCCAGCACCUCGUAUGCGAGGAGUCACCUGGGCACGCGUCGGACCGCGGUUGGACCUACACUUCGGAUGCGAGGGUUGCGACACGCCUCGCCAGCUGGCCUCGAUGACUCAGCAGUUUUAACACGUGGGACGCAUAGAGCGAAGGUGACGUGGCCGAAGUAUGACUAUGCAGUUUUUCUCGAUUUUUGUGCAAAAACUUCUAAGAUCCAUAACUUUCGCAUACGGGCUCCGUUUUUGACGUUCUAUUUAUUCACACGUAGCUAAAAUUACGCUCUACAACUUUCGUUCGUCGGCUAAUUUUGAAUUUAAUUUUAAUAUUAUUAUUUUUAACAGAGCAAGACAGGAAAAUCCGUUAAAAAACCAUAACUUCUUCAUUAUAACUCGAAUUUUGAUGAGGUUUUCGCCUACGUGUUUCUAACGAGAUUGUAUACAAGUUUCAAUAAUAAAAUUUUACUUAUUUCAAAAUUUAUCUUUUCGCUAUAUUUUAAUAUUUGGCUUUUAAUUGGAAUCUCAUAAGACUUCCAAUAUUUUAUGAGUGAUUCUAAAUAUAGUUUUAUGUCAUUUCUAGUAAAAACUAUCCGUUAGAACUCAAAACUCAAUUUCACAUAAUAUUAUUCUCUUUUAUAAUUUACAAUACACGAUUUCAAAACGUGUAUGUUACAAAUACCUCCUCCUUUUGAGGAUUUCGUCCUCGAAAUCAUAACGAUUAAAAUAAAUGAGGAUACUUCACUCUUAUCUCAUUCUUAUUUUCCCAAGUAUAAUUUGGGCGUCGAUGGUGCUUCCACUUGACAAGCACCAACUUCAUUUCUUUAUUACGUAGAUUAGUCGUUCAUUCGUUUACAGUCUUUUAAGGUUUUUCUACAUAUCUUAACUUAUUAUCCAAUAUCUCUUAGGAUAACGGAACCGUUUCAUCAUAUACACUCAAGCAUUUGCAAAGAGAACUCACAUGAAACACUUCAUGAAUAUCCGUCAAAUCUUUAGGAAACUCCAAGUAGUAUGCUUGCUUACCAACCGUUCUUGCUUCCAAAGUAUAAUAACGCCUUUUCAUGAAAUACCUUCAGUAUUACUAAAUCAUCCACCCUGAAUUCUAUUGGUCGUCUCCUCUUUUCUGCAUAGGACGUUUGUCGAUCCUGGAUGGCUUUCAUUCUUUCUCAGAAAAUUUGUAUCCUGUUUGUGAUGUAUUGAAUCAUUUCAGAUCCUCCAAAGAUCUUAUGUCCUACAUUACACCAACAUAUUUGAGUAUGACAUUUACGCUCAUACAGUACUUUAUAUACCUUCAGUAUAUUUUGUACUAUUUGGAUUGCUCUCUUCUUCAGAUCAUUUGUCUGAGGAUGAUAAGUUGUACUAAGAGCAACUCGAGAUCCUAAUUCAUGUUUCAUUCUCAGCCACAAGUAAGAAGUGAAACGAGUAUCACAAUUGGAAAUAAUCUUUAGUGGUGCGCCAUGUCUCGCCACAAUUUUAUCUAAGUAAACUUGUGCUUAUUUCUCCAUUAGAACUGUUGUACGUAUGGCGAGAAAAUAUGUACUCAUAGUCAGCUUGUCGACAAUUACCCAAAUGCUAUCAUUCUAUAUAGCAGUCUCUGGUAAUUAAAGUAGCACCAUACAUAAGGUCAAUUCGGAAUUCUACUUGCCUAUUCGGGGUAGACCAGGCAAUUCGUCGGGAAGAUCAUCAAGAUUUUCAUUAAUAAUGGAAACAUCAUUUACAAUUUUCUUCCCCUUUCUUGACAUAUCAAUUGCAUUAGCCGAAUAAGUAGAAUAUCUCUUCGAUAUAAAUUUACAAGUUUUUAAGAAAGAAGUUAUUAUUUUCAACGUAGACAUAAAUAUAAUCCUCUUCUUCGAUAGGGAUGCAUGAUAUCUCUUCGUAGCACAAGAGUUCUGCUUGGUUCUUUGACAACCAAUCCAUGCCGAGAAUAAUAUCAAAGUUGGGCAAGGAGAUAUUAGCAAGAAGAUUAAAACAUUCUAUUCUUAUAACAUAAUCUCUAUAAAGUAUAUCAACAAGUAAUGAUAUACUUCCUAUAUUAUUUAUAUGAAAUGAUUGGACAAUUGCAUAACAAGAAAUUCGAAAAGAAUGAGUGAAUUUAUAAGGCACGAAAGAAUCUUAGGCAUUGAAAUCAAAUAAGAUGUGAGAAGAUCUAGAGUUUACGAGAAAAUUACUAGUCACAACAUUCGAGUUUUAACUUACUUCCUUUAUGGUAAUCUAAAAUGUUUGAUAUUUAAGAUUUGCCAAACGAUUGUCAAAUUAUUCAAACUUCCUAAUUACUAGCGAUGUUCAAACUUGCACCCUCUCUUCAUUCUCUAUUGAACAUUUGAUCCUAAUCUUUGAGUUAAAACUCAAUUCUCAUUGCAGACUCCUGCUCCUUCUUGGUUUAUAGACUAAACCCAAGAUAAGGUCUUUACUUUUGCUAUAACAACAACUCGAAUGGUCAUAUUAUAAUGACCUUUGAUUUUAUCUCGCACAAGACACGUAACGAACCAAGCUCUUGUAUUAGAAUCAGAUCAAAUAAAUCGAGCUGAUAGAAUACAAAAACAAAAAGAGUUUGAUCAACACGUCGAUGCUUCAGAAUAGAAAGAAUAGCACCAUGUAUCUCUAAUUCGUGCUUUCGGACCUACAUAUCUUUUAGCUUUUGGCACCUCCUAAUAUUUAUUUGUAGUACUCUUUGAUUGUUGAAUGGAAACUUGACUCCCAGCCAUUUGACUAGUAAGAGUAGGGCAUAAACAUUUCUUGUGGCCAGUACCACCACAUAGCAAGUCAUAUUUCUAGCUAAUGAUUGCUCAAUUCUUUAAUGAAGAUCGUUAUAUUUCUAUCGACUACCUCGAUCUUUUACUUCUUCAGUAUUCCUACUGAAGUUUUAUCACUAUAUAAGACAUGGUUCUCUGAACCAAUCAACUCCUUUCGCGGGUUUAUACUAAUCCGACUCAAUUCUUUAUGACAUUAAGAGUUGAAUAAUACUUAUCUUCUUAGUCAUUACCGAAACGAAGGUAACGACACACCUGAAUAAAACGAAAUCAUUUAC
RNAcentral lists this long non-coding RNA (6468 nucleotides) under Lactuca sativa (garden lettuce). RNAcentral's name for it is "long non-coding RNA (LSAT_LNC004188)". Lineage: Eukaryota; Viridiplantae; Streptophyta; Magnoliopsida; Asterales; Asteraceae. The record is from RNAcentral.